RNAcentral lists this ribosomal RNA (1300 nucleotides) under metagenome. RNAcentral's name for it is "bacterial LSU rRNA". It matches the Rfam family "Bacterial large subunit ribosomal RNA", at positions 1600 to 2925 of the family's 2925-position model. The record is from RNAcentral.
UCCAUGUGCCAAGAAAAGCCGCUAUAGAUCAUACCGUACCCGUACCGUAAACCGACACAGGUAGAUGAGGAGAGAAUCCUAAGGCCGACGGGAGAAGCAUUGUUAAGGAACUCGGCAAAAUGACCCCGUAACUUCGGGAGAAGGGGUGCCCACGCGAGUGGGCCGCAGAGAAUAGGCUCAAGCAACUGUUUAGCAAAAACACAGGUCUAUGCGAAACCGAAAGGUGAGGUAUAUGGGCUGACGCCUGCCCGGUGCUGGAAGGUUAAGAGGAGGAGUCAGGCAACGAAGCUCCGAAUUUAAGCCCCAGUAAACGGCGGCCGUAACUAUAACGGUCCUAAGGUAGCGAAAUUCCUUGUCGGGUAAGUUCCGACCCGCACGAAAGGCGUAAUGAUUUGAGCACUGUCUCGACAAUGCACCCGGUGAAAUUGAAGUACCAGUGAAGAUGCUGGUUACCUGCGCCAGGACGGAAAGACCCCAUGGAGCUUUACUCCAGUUUGAUACUGGGAUUCGAUACUGAAUGUACAGGAUAGGUGGGAGGCUGAGAAGCGUGGACGCCAGUCUGCGGUGAGCCGCUGUUGGGAUACCACCCUUUGAGUAUUGGAUUUCUAACCUGCGCCCGUGACCCGGGCGGGGGACAAUGUCUGACGGGGAGUUUGACUGGGGCGGUCGCCUCCGAAAGGGUAUCGGAGGCGCUCAAAGGUUCCCUCAGAAUGGUUGGAAACCAUUCGCAGAGUGCAAAGGCAGAAGGGAGCUUGACUGUGACACCGACGGGUGGAGCAGGUACGAAAGUAGGACUUAGUGAUCCGGUGGUAUGAAAGUGGGAUUGCCAUCGCUCAACGGAUAAAAGCUACCCUGGGAUAACAGGCUUAUCACUCCCAAGAGUUCACAUCGACGGAGUGGUUUGGCACCUCGAUGUCGGCUCAUCGCAUCCUGGGGCUGUAGCAGGUCCCAAGGGUUGGGCUGUUCGCCCAUUAAAGCGGUACGCGAGCUGGGUUCAGAACGUCGUGAGACAGUUCGGUCCCUAUCCGGCGCAGGCGUAGGAUAUUUGAGAGGAGCUGUCCUUAGUACGAGAGGACCGGGAUGGACAGACCGCUGGUGUAUCUGUUGGUGACCAACACCAUGGCAGAGUAGCCAAGUCUGGCAGGGAUAAACGCUGAAGGCAUCUAAGCGUGAAGCCCCCCUCAAGAUGAGAUAUCCCAAUAAGUAAGACCCCUUAGAGAGUAUGAGGUAGAUAGGCUUAAGGUGUAAGCAUAGUAAUAUGUUCAGCUGAUAAGUACUAAUAGGUCGAGGGCUUAUCCUU